RNAcentral lists this long non-coding RNA (1236 nucleotides) under Capsicum annuum. Its description in RNAcentral is "long non-coding RNA (CANN_LNC017376)". Lineage: Eukaryota; Viridiplantae; Streptophyta; Magnoliopsida; Solanales; Solanaceae. The record is from RNAcentral.
CUAAUCUUCAAAACAUAGGAAAGCUUCCAUCAUUUAACCACUUGAUGGUGCCAAAGUAAUGUGAUAGUUACAAAAUAUUACUAAAGAAAAACAGAACACUCUGCACAACAUCCUUAGAUCAAAAUUUGAAACUUUUAAAUGGUGCACAAUUAUAAUCACACAAAACUCCCAAUUUCAAUAAACUCCAAAAAUAUUAUGACACAUUAAUACAAACAUGAUCAGUCCCAUAAGAUAACUAUAUUAUCAUACUCGAAAUCAAAUAGACAUGAAAAGAUGAGAUUUUUUAUAAAUUAUUCAUUGUUGAAAUAGUUCCAUAGAAAAAUAAGUAUUCAAAUUAUUGAUAAAAUUCCACACUAUAAAGCUCAGAACGCACAAAAUACUACUCCUAAAAGGAAAGAAAACAAUAAAAAUAACAAGGACUCAAAAAUAUAAUAAAAAAUAAAAUAAGUGAGUUAUUUUCCUUUUGGGGGGCAGCAAAUUGAAAUUAUGAGAUCUUCGUCAAAAUUUCUCAACCAUCGGGGAAUUUGAACCAGAUUCUUUUGCCAAAAAAUCCUAAGCCAGAUGGUCUUAUAGGUAUUUAAAUAAAUCCCUUUCAAUUGGACUUCUUUGUUGUUAAUUAGCCCUUUUUGCGUGUCAAGAUCUUUCAUGUUCCUACCUUUGGCCUCUUAUUCGAUGAAAACUGUAGAGGUAUACAUAGGAAAAUUUAGAAAUCAAUCUUUUAGGCUUGGUUGAUGAGAUUUGGGGGAUUCAGGGGAAAUUUAGAGAUUUCUAAGGGGAAAUUUCAAAUUUUGAAGAUGGAUAAGAUUGUGAGGUGGAUUUGGUAAGAAUUUGUACCCCGUCCUUUGAAUCACGAAAUCUGAUCCACUUAGGUGUUUCUAAAACAUUAUGGGUGAUCUAUAUGUGAGAAUUUUGUGUUAUUGAGAGGGAAAGGGAUAAAUGAAGGUGGGAAAAGGGUAUUGGGUCAAUUCUCAUCCGUGUUGUACUCUAGUUUAAUCAUUGUUUGUUUGUUAUUACUAUUUACUAAUGGCAUUGCUGAUAUUUUGGAUGGUAUAGUCAAGUUUAGGGAUGGAGAAGAUUGGUUAAGGUAUUAAAGAGUGGUUGGACCAAGUUAGCAGGUUCGAAGUGGGCUGGGGCGGGUUAGUCCAUUAGGAAUGGGUAGAUUUAUUAGGUAAAGCAGUAAGGGUAGCUUAGGCUAUUUAAGAGAUAGUAUAAAUAGGUUAAGAGUUAGUCAGUUUA